Molecule: ribosomal RNA, 207 nt
Filed under: uncultured bacterium
Lineage: Bacteria
Description: partial 16S ribosomal RNA
Rfam family: Bacterial small subunit ribosomal RNA
Source: RNAcentral
CGUGUAGGCUGUGAUGCAUGUCGGGUGUGAAAGCCCUCGGCUUAACCGAGGAAGUGCGCCCGAAACUGCAUCGCUGGAGUGCCGGAGAGGGUGGCGGAAUUCCCGGUGUAGAGGUGAAAUUCGUAGAUAUCGGGAGGAACACCAGUGGCGAAGGCGGCCACCUGGACGGACACUGACGCUGAGACGCGAAAGCGUGGGGAUCAAACA